GAAAUGCGAUAAGUAGUGUGAAUUGCAGAAUUCAGUGAAUCAUCGAAUCUUUGAACGCACAUUGCGCUUCCUGGUAUUCCGGGGAGCAUGCUCGUUUCAGAAUCAUUUAAAACUCACAAGCCUUUGCGGCGUUUGUCGCAUUGGUGCGUGGAUAUGAGCGCAUUGGCUGGAUUUACUUCCACCAACCCAAUCGCUUUAAAAUGAUUUUGUACGCAACCCUCGCCUUCUUUUGUGGGCUGCCAACAGUGCGACAGUUUUUAACAGUUCAUUUUUGGCUGCCACCACGAGAAGAGCGUGGCGUGUAUUUCUACCUCCAAACACAUUGCAUUGUUGGCGCAAGCCCUAUGCUUUGAAACUUGGUCUGAAAUCGAGCAAGAAAACCCGCUGAACUUAA
This 394-nucleotide unclassified non-coding RNA is filed under the name uncultured Chytridiomycota. Its description in RNAcentral is "sequence contains ITS1". The stretch from base 1 to 105 matches the Rfam family "5.8S ribosomal RNA", at positions 50 to 154 of the family's 154-position model. The record is from RNAcentral. Lineage: Eukaryota; Fungi; Chytridiomycota.